AGUGAACGCUGGCGGUAGGCCUAACACAUGCAAGUCGAACGGCAGCACAGUAAGAGCUUGCUCUUACGUGUGGCGAGUGGCGGACGGGUGAGGAAUACAUCGGAAUCUACUUUUUCGUGAGGGAUAACGUAGGGAAACUUACGCUAAUACCGCAUACGACCUACGGGUGACAGCAGGGGAUCUUCUGACCUUGCGCGAUUGAAUGAGCCGAUGUCGGAUUAGCUAGUUGGCGGGGUAAAGGCCCACCAAGGCGACGAUCCGUAGCUGGUCUGCGAGGAUGAUCAGCCACACUGGAACUGAGAAACGGUCCAGACUCCUACGGGAGGCAGCAGUGGGGAAUAUUGGACAAUGGGCGCAAGCCUGCUCAAGCCAUACCGGGUGGGUGAAGAAGGCCUUCGGGUUGUAAAGCCCUUUUGUUGGGAAAGAAAAGCAGCAGGUUAAUACCCCGCUGUUCUGACGGUACCCAAAGAAUAAGCACCGGCUAACUUCGU
This 491-nucleotide ribosomal RNA is filed under the name uncultured bacterium. RNAcentral describes it as "partial 16S ribosomal RNA". It matches the Rfam family "Bacterial small subunit ribosomal RNA", at positions 29 to 506 of the family's 1533-position model. The record is from RNAcentral.